Molecule: unclassified non-coding RNA, 377 nt
Filed under: uncultured Thermoleophilia bacterium
Lineage: Bacteria; Bacillati; Actinomycetota; Thermoleophilia
Description: contains 16S-23S intergenic spacer region
Source: RNAcentral
UCCGGUUUGUCACCGGCAGUCUCACAUGAGUCCCCAACUAAAUGCUGGCAACAUGCGACGGGGGUUGCGCUCGUUGCGGGACUUAACCCAACAUCUCACGACACGAGCUGACGACAACCAUGCACCACCUGUGAACCGGCCCCAAAGGGGAAGGACUGUUUCCAGCCCGGUCCGGUCCAUGUCAAGCCUUGGUAAGGUUCUUCGCGUCGCGUCGAAUUAAACCACAUGCUCCGCUGCUUGUGCGGGCCCCCGUCAAUUCCUUUGAGUUUUAGCCUUGCGGCCGUACUCCCCAGGCGGGGUGCUUAAUGCGUUAGCUUCGGCACGGAGGGAGUCGACACCCCCCCCACCUAGUGACCAUCGUUUACGGCGUGGACUAC